CCUACGGGGGGCAGCAGUGGGGGAUAUUGCACAAUGGGGGGAACCCUGAUGCAGCGACGCCGCGUGGGUGAAGAAGGGCCUCGGCGCGGAAAGCCCUGUCAGCAGGGAAGAAAAGGACGGUACCUGAAGAAGAAGCCCCGGCUAACUACGUGCCAGCAGCCGCGGUAAUACGUCGGGGGCAAGCGUUAUCCGGAUUUACUGGGUGUAACGGGGGCGGAGAGGGCGAGGCCAGCCAGGAGUGAAAGCCCGGGGCCCACCCCCGGGACUGCUCUUGGAACUGCGUGGCUGGAGUGCAGGAGGGGCAGGCGGAAUUCCUGUUGUAGCGGUGCAAUGCGUAGAUAUCAGGAGGAACACCGGUGGCGAAGGCGGCCUGCUGGACUGCAACUGACGUUGAGGCCCGAAAGCGUGGGGAGCAAACAGGAUUAGAUACCCGAGUAGUC
RNAcentral lists this ribosomal RNA (440 nucleotides) under uncultured bacterium. Its description in RNAcentral is "partial 16S ribosomal RNA". It matches the Rfam family "Bacterial small subunit ribosomal RNA", at positions 338 to 795 of the family's 1533-position model. The record is from RNAcentral.